Molecule: long non-coding RNA, 14065 nt
Filed under: Nicotiana benthamiana
Lineage: Eukaryota; Viridiplantae; Streptophyta; Magnoliopsida; Solanales; Solanaceae
Description: long non-coding RNA (NBEN_LNC023319)
Source: RNAcentral
GCUUCAUCAGAACGUGUUUAAUUAUUUUAGGUUUUCACCCACUUUACGAUGAAAAAAAAUUAACACUCUCCUGCCUUCAUUUCACUCCCUACGAUCAAUACAAAAGCUAAAAAGUUUGAAAUCACCUCUGUCCUCUCUCCCUUCUUUGAUAAAAAUGUGUUGAGGAAAUGGAAACAAAAUUACUGACCUGUGUCAUUGAUCGUAGAGACGUUGAAUACCCAAACAUGUUGUUGAGCGGGACCUGAGAAACAAAUAGUAUCGCAUCAGCAAAAAGAAGACAAAUGAUUUACUCAUGUCAUAAUACUUUCAGAAUAAAUGCAUACUGUUCCAAGGCUGAGAAUGAAUUUUGAGAAGAACCCUUAGAAGCCAUGUAAAUUAGCAAUUAAUAUAUCUCAGUUUCAAAGCAGCAAACAUGUGCAAGUAACAUGCUCUUGAAGUUUCAUGAAUCUACAAGACAACAAGUUCUCAUAACUUUGCAUCUUCCUUGCCAGUAAAGUUAUCUGUUUCAGACACUGUUUGCUUAAGGUAUUAAUUAUUAGAUAGAUACACUAAAUAAGCAUGAUACAUCUUUCUCACACAACUUUGUCACACAAAUACUAGAAUGCUACAAUAAAUAUCAUUCAGUGCAGAGUAUUCUUUUUCACCAAGGGUAAGCCAGAGAUUCAGCCGAUCACCAACUUGUUCUGGUGUUGCCCUUGGUCAAAAGACAACAAUAAGCAAAAAAUAUUGCUUUAGGUAUUGACUUAGUACAAGUCUGGAUGUGUCGUAGACACACAUAACUAGUUUGAAACCUGGUUGUUGCACCAAGUAUGGUAUUCAAGUGGAAAGGCUGGAGAGAUGCCCAUUAUCCACCAAAUUCCAAAGCUAAACUAAAUGAUUUCUCGACCACAAAAUUAUAAAAUGGUAUUUCACAUUUUUCAAGGAAGCUGAGCAUAACAAUGUAACAUGUGGGCCCAUUUGGACAAAUACUUGGUUGAAGUUGAAAAACAAGUACUUGAAGUUGAAGUUGAAAAAAGGUAUUUGGAAGUUGAAAUAGUGCUUGGACGUGAACUACACCUGAAAACAGUUUACAUCUUACGAGUGAAAACCAUUGUUUCACUUUAAAUACUCCUCAAACCAGAUUCUCUAUUUCAAGUAGAAGUUGAAUAAUGGACAAAAUUUUAAAACAAACAUUGAAUUGCAAAUAAUAAAUUAUUUAUGUCCAAACGCCUAUGUAAGACCCAAAAGCACUGAUGAACAGGGAAUUGGGAGUUUAUAAUUCCUCGUGAGGUUUAGUAUUUCUUUUAUUUCUUCUUGCGAACCCAUCAAACAUAAAAAGCAUAAGCAAGAUGAUGGUUUUGCAACUUAUUACUCAUGCACAACCCAUAAGUUGUUGCGAUAUCCAAACUUUUUGUAACAACUGCGGAGAUUCAAAAAUUACAAGAGUAUUUGUAGAGGUAAGCAAAGAGCAAACUGGCAUAAGAAAAAACAGAGGCAUGGUCAACUGAAGUUUCUCAAUUGCAGUAGCACUAAACUGGCAGAAAGGUAGAGAAUUUAACAGUAAAGAGCAGCUCGAAUGAAAUCUGAACAGUAGGUAAAAAAGAAAGAUGUUAACCCCUUUAAUAAAAGUUAACAUACAAUGAUCAAAUUUCACACACAUGCCACUAUGAUAUGCAUUACGGCCAUUUUUCAGCCAAUUCUUUACCUAAAAAAGGCAUGAAGGUUGAUUGCGAACCAGUGUUCGGAAGUGGAUUUUACAAUCACAUAAAGCCAUCCAAACAGAACAAAGAAAGAGGGGAUGGAGAACAUGAUUAUAAGCAGCAAUAUUUACUGACAGCAAGAGGCACCAGAAAUCAAUUCAAAAUACCGCUGAAGAAAAUACAGCUUAAAGAGCAAAGAAAGAUAAACAUACAUGGGCAGUAAUUACAGAGUCAUCUCCUUCCUGGUCAUUGCCGAUUAUGACACCUUUCCUCCUGUGAUAUUAAGAAAACAAGAAAAAUGAAGAGCUUGGUUAGAAAAGCAUAAAUCAGUUUCUCAAAUCUUAAUAGCAUACUCCCAGAAAGAAGUUCACUAACUUAUUUAUAUCCCCAGUAACAGUGCCCUGAAAUUCUGUUGGCACUUUCAUUUCCACCAGCAUCACAGGUUCCAAUAUGAUAGGCUUUGCUGCAGCAUAACACUGUUUGCAAUGAAAUUAGCGAUACAAAAUGAGGAAACGGUAAAAUUACUGCAAGCAUACGCAACUUCGGUAAGGCUCACCAAGCUGAGGAAAGAGAGAAAGGGCAGGAAGUUGGAGGUACAAGCAAGCAUAAGAGUAAUUGCCUACCGAUCAGCUGGAUGAAUGUGUUACCUGUCUAAAAGCAUAAAUGGAAGCUAAUUUGAACGCAAGUUCACUUGAAUCAACAGCAUGUGAGUUACCAUCCGUCAAAACAACACGGAUAUUUUCAACUGGAUGACCAAUCAGAGAACCCCUGGAACACAGAAAGAUCCAGAUUUGUACUCGAUCAAAAACAUGUAAAGGGAACUAGGCAAGCAUGUCAUGAGAAGAUCACCACUGAAUCUUGAAUUGACUAAGCUUUGAUAGUUCCUAAGCAAUUACAUAAAUAUAGUACCGCCUAGAUCCUUAACUUGAAGAAAAGAAACUACAUAAUACAGUACCGGCUAGAUUCUUAACUUGAAGAAAAGCAGCAGACAUAUCCAAGAAUCUCCAGGCAAGUCAUAGUUGAAAUUAGAAAAGCAUACUUACGAAUUGGCAGCCUCCCUGAAACCCUUUUCAAUUGCAGGGACGAAGUUUGAUGGUAUAGCUUGACCAACAAGCAUGUUGUCAAAUUCAAACUUACUGCCCGACCCUUGUUCGAGAGGUUCAACAUACCUGUAGAAACAAAUCAUUGAGGAAACAUGAAUAUCAAAAAUGCCACAAAUGGAACAACGAAAAUAUAAUCAGCUCACUCCCCCUCCCUAACCAACUCUCUCAGGUUUAACAAACAUACUCUUGGUUAUGCCAGAUUUAAGUUUUUUUAGGCCAGAUUUAAUGGAGGGGGAAUGUAGAACUACUCCACACGGUUAAACCUUAUCUGUUAUACAAGCCCAAGACAAUAGUCUACGCACGGGGAUCUGUAAUUGAGCCACCAACGGUAAGCAUCUAAAUUACUAUAUAAGCAGGACAGGGGCUGCAACUGGCUCACAUCUAGAUCUUAGUAGAAAAGGAUGCUAGCUGGAAAGGUAUAGGAAAGUUGGAAAUCACAUUACUAGCAUUAGUCCUCUCUAUUCGACUUGCCCUUCCUUUAAUUAAUGGUAAUUAUUUAUAGGCCCUUAAAAGUUGCACAUAACAAGAAAAAUAAGCCCAAUAGAAGAAAAGGGACUAACCAAAAUGAUAUAUACAUCUAUACUUACCCAAUUACUCUACCAUAUUGACCUUGCCCACCACUUUGCUUCUUGUGUAGAUAAUCGAAAUCUGCUCUCUUGGUGAUGGUUUCCCUGAAGUUUACACGAGGCUUUCCAACCUGAGCUUCAACCUUAACAAACACAGAGAAAGUAAGAAAAGGAUCAAACAAAUGAUGAUACACGACGAAAAUAAUUAUAAUCAAACAAAUGAUGAUGCACGACGAAAAUAACCAUCUAUGAAAAAGAGGAUGAACCUUAUAUUCCCUUCGGAUGCGCUCAACAUAUAUGUCCAGAUGCAGCUCCCCCAUGCCGGAUAUGAUUGUCUGCUCAAGAAACCAUUGAGACAUUGAGAGACUCACCCCAUAAGAUCGACAAUUCCCCUAACAUUCUAAAUAUGGAGCCCACAUGUGGGGUAAACAAAACAUACCUCACCACUCUCAGCAUCUAAACCCACACGGAAUGUAGGAUCCUCCCUCUGAAAGCGAUUUAAAGCUUUUGAGAACUGCCAACCAAAAAGAGAUAACAAUUAUAAUAGGCUCAAAAAACAAUGGCAUAGAGCGCGCACCUUGUAGAUCCAACAGAACAACAGGUUCAAAAAGAGACAACAAUUAUAAUAGGCUCAAAAAACAAUGGCAUAGAGCGCGCACCUUGUAGAUCCAACAGAACAACAGGUUCUACUAUGAGCACUCACUUGACCACCAGUGUCUUUAGAAACCGGUGAAACAGCUAAUGACAUCACUGGUUCAGGGACAUUCAUAGAAGUCAUGGUGUAUUUAACUGAUCCAUCAGUAAAAGUAUCCCCUGCAAACAGAUCAGAACUAAGCAUCAGAAUACAUCAUAAAGAAAAGAUAUAUGCUUCUUCUCACUAAGUCAUCUAAGGAUAGAAUAAGAUGUUACCUGAAGCACAAUCUACACCAAACACAGCAACUAUCUGCCCAGCAUGAGCCUCUUGGAUAUCCUAUGAUUUGAGUUGACAUACAUUUCUAAAAGAUAAGAAAGAUGGCCAAUUGGGAAAUACCGAUAAUCCAGGCAAAAGAUUCAUUUUGUCCCCUACUAAAAUCUAUUUAAACUUCCUCCAAGGCUCAUUCAAUUAAAGAGUAACACAAAAUAUAUAUUGUCCAACAUAGUCAGAUAAAAUGAAUUUAGUCAAGAAGUCAAAAGCGCAAGGCGUGGCUGACAAACCUCCAUCUCAUUUGAAUGCAUUCUGACCAGACGAGGAACCUACAAAAGAAAUUCAGUUGAACCUGGGAUUAGAACAGCAGAAUAACAUAUAAGACUAAUUUUUCUACUAGUAUGCAAGCAUAUUCUCCACGUAAAUAAAUCACACAUACACGAUUGAGUGGAUGACUCGAACAAAGACAUAGGUUAUGUUGGUAUCUAUAUCACAAAGUAGAUAACAGGUUUUUAAGAUAUUUUGCCCCUUGCAUAAGGUCCUUACAACAAAUCUUAACUUCUAACUUCCUUUUGAACUCCCUCCAAUCAAACAGCCGCAAAAUCAAAGGAGCUUUUAUUCUCGGGGUAUCUAGAUACUUAUAAAAAAAAUCGGGUAUGCCAAUCCACCGUAUUCAUUUACCUUUUUUAAUAAGGGUCUACGAAUACCGAGAAUCGACAUAUCCGAAAUUUUCUUUUGAGAAAUAUCUAUAUAUACCUAUUCAUAAGUUUGUAUGAACGAAGUCUUUUUUCUACAAGUAAAUUUUUGCAAUUCCACAUCUUCUUUAACCUGAUACCUUUGGACAGGCCAUAUUUUCAACCCAGCUGUGUCUUGCUACCUGGACAAACUCUCCUUUCCUUUUUUUGUGCUAAUAGAUGAUUCUUAUAAAGGGCGACUGACACGCAUAAGGAAUAACCAGCAUCCCAGUGAAAGCCAAUGGAAUGAGUUCGCAAACAAGUGAAGCAGAAACAAGUUUUUUUUUUUCGAAUAAGCAGAAAUAACAUUUGUUGAAUAGAAUAUAACAAGAAAGCAUUAUCAAUUCAGUGAGGCUGGAAAUGUUCAGAGAAGAGUACACUUCACAGGAACUGACCAGAAAACCAAGAAAAAGCAGGGUGUCUCACAAACCUGUGAAUUUAGUAAACACGGCAACCAUGAAAACCUCCAAAAAAAUUUAUAGAGUUACAAAGCAGCCUCAAUCCAAACUAGUUCGGAUCGGCUAUCAAUAUAAAAAAAUAUCAAUACCAGUAGACACCAAACAAAUUCAAGUGGUGAAACUAUAAAACAAAUAUACACUUCAGAUUUAUAGAGAUCAUUGUGAGUAUGUAUAUAAAAUUGAUUUGACAUGCUUAAAAUCACCAUAAGGUCAAAGGCAAUGCAUUCAGAUGCUAAACUGACAUGAAAUAUUUCGGCUCAAAAUGACUGAUUCUAUAUCAGAAAGAUGAGUUCAAUUGAGCUCACCUUAAUCCUCUUCCCGGUGUUCACGUUAAUUAUAAAGUCGCCCUUCCGGAUGACACCUUCAUAGAUUCUUUGAUGGAAGAUCACGUCAAAUUGUGUGUUCUUGCUAAGUAAACAUACAGAGAAAUAGUUACACAAGAAAUAAGUUUAUAUACCUUAAAUAGGUCAAUUGACCAAAACGCCCUUCCUCUAAUUUAAAUGCCAAGGCAACCAAAGGGCCGGUGGGGCUUCCGGUUAAUGUAACCUAGCAACAAAUUAGCACAAAAAGACGUUAGUCUCUAAUCUGUACAUGGAGGAAAGGAAAAAGUAGGAACUCAAUGAAAAGAAUUAACCUUCUCUUCAUUCUUUGUUUGAUCCAGAGCAUAGUUGCUAACUUCAACUGGACAAGGCAAAUAAUUGAGAACGCCAUCAAGAAGUAUUUGAACUCCCUGUUUAGCACAAAAUAACAGAACAUACAGAUGUAAAAUUGCAACCAAUGAAGUAUAAGGGAAUUAUAUAUUUAAGGAAGAAACGGGAUUUUGUACAUGAUAGGUAAACAUAGUGAGGAAAAAAGGCAAUAAAAUGCAGCAACUGAUUACUUUCCUUAGGAUACCACAACACGCGUCUUUGAAUGGAUGAAAUUAAAGGUAGGUCGAAAUUGUUAAUUGAAAAUCAAGAACAGAAUCGAGCAUUAAAUUGUGCCAAAUCAAGCAUCAGCAAAGAAAAGAUAGCCAAGCAACACCGGGAAUUUUAGAACGGCAAGCAGGCAAGAACAAGAUAUACGCCGAUAUAGGAUAAAAAACCAUGAACAAGGAAAAAUUUUUUACCACUAAACAAGUAGUCAAACGCAAGAGUGCAUCAAGGAGAGAGUACUGUUUGCCUCACAGCUGUAUUCAUUAAGGAUUCAGUUUCGAGAAGAGUAUAACAUGGUCACAGCUAGUCAGAAUCUCAGUUGAGAUUAAUUUUCAAUUUGACGAGGUUGACACAAACAAAAGGAAGCGGUCAGUAAUUUCUAGAAGAAAAAUUACACCAUUGACCUCCUGGCGUUUACAGUGGGAAAAAAUAAUAAUAAUUAAGGUAAAACUUAUGCAACUUAGGUGUUCUACACUUUAAAAAAAAACCAUAUAGCCAUUAUCAAUUUCAGAUCAAAAUUCUCCAUUCCAUAUUAAGUUAAUCAGUGAACAAAACAGCACCUUGUUCUUGAAAGCACUGCCCAUAAAAAAAGGAACAAACUUCCGUGCUAUUGUCGCUCUCCUUAUGGCUGCCUGGAGAACACAGAAAGAAAAUUAUAGAAUAGGUAAGGGAAGAUUAGAUGUCCCAAAGAGCUUAGGAUUACUUAGAAAAGGUGAAUACUCAAAGAUCCAGCAGCAGUACAUUAUCAUACCAAUACCAAGUACUGCAAUAUUUGUUGUAUUAAUUAUAGACAUUAAUGUAGGUUAAACACUUUGAUAUAGUACAUGUUAAAAGAUAAGGUUUAGCAUAUAGUCGCAUACAAAUCUGUUCGCAACCAAUUGACCUAGUUGUGGUAAAUAACCCUGUCCACCACAAAAGCAUCUCAACUUCAGUCCCAUGCUCACAUAUUUAACAUGAUACAGAAAAGAACAUUAUGGUAAAGAAAGGAGGUAUUCUUUCAAACUAUCACCAAAUUUCCGUCAUUGUGCUUGCUCAAUUGAAAACCCACCUAGCAUUCAACUGCUAUAGUUCCAAGAUCUACAAUGACCAUGUUAAGCGGCAGGAAACAGUCACUUAUAAUUCUAUCCCCGACAUGAUUACCGAAGCUUGCAAGUUUCGCUCAACAAUUGAAAUUAGGUAUUUACCUACCACCCGUUACAUCUAUCAAAAUCUACUACUUUGAAAAGAAACACUUGUGUCUUAAACAGAAUGUAGACUUCUCAAAGCAACAACUCAAAAGCACCCCACAAGAAGGUUAUUAUUUCCUUGUAAACAAGGUCGAAUAAUUGCGUACAGACCUCAAGCUCAGCAGAUGAUAUAGGAUCAUCAUUCAGAAAUGCUUCAGCAAGCUUAUCAUCAACCUCAGAAACUGCUUCAAUUAGCUCUCGCCGCUUCUCAGAAGCAAUUGCUUCCAUAUUAGCAGGAAUAUCUUCUGUGACAAUCUUCUCACUGCAAAAGCCAAAAAUGAAUAUGACCAAGUAGAGCAAUGUACCAAUCAUAUCUAACCAAACAUGUUUUAGCUCGAGACGGACCCACUGGAACCAUGGAAAUAGUAAGCUUUCAACUGCACAAGAUCAAUAAGACCCUUGAAGUCAUCUUCCAACCCAAUUGGAACUUGCACAGCAGCGCUAUGGUGCCGAAGUUUUGAUCUUGCCUGUGUGAAAAGGAAACAGAACAAGUAUAAGAGAUUGUCUUCAAAAUUUCAAUGUGCUAGACUGUUAUUCAGAAUUCAUAUAACAAAGUUCUAGAGGAAAGCAGCAAAGUAAGAGAUAAUAUCAAUGAUAACAAGAUGCUGAGCAGCAUAUAAGAAAAAAAGCAUUUUAAUAGAGGUCCAUAACAAUAAUAAGUGCUCCCUGCCAAAGAAUCAGGCAAAUACACACAAAAAAGUAAGAGGUAGCAGUGAAUCAAGUAGCAGAUGUUUAUAACAAGGCAAAAUGGCUUCAUGGCCACAUAAACUUGUCGAGUUUUUUAAAGCCGAUACAUAAACUUUCUAUUUUCCCAUUUGAACACUCCAACUCGUUUUUUCCGUAACUAAUAAACACAUCUGACAAGAGACCAUGUGCGCGUGUAUUACACAUACACAUAAGUGUCCAUCCCGUCAGAAAAUGACCAAUGGAUGUCUUAUACAUCAAAGGCACGAAACCCUAACCCUGGUCCCAUCUUUCAUUCCUUAGCUCACUCAUUUUAACCUCUCUCCGACGAAACCGUCCACUGUUCAUUCCAGAAUUUUGAUGAUUGGAGAAGGUGAUUCGAUCAGAACAAUACUUAAAAAACUACAGUUGACAAAAUGUAAAGCUCUACCCAUAAUUGAGCUCACAGAAUCUCUUAAGCAAAAGGUCAGAGAUGCUGAAGUUGGUCGGCAAGCGCAGGAAAACACUAUACAAUUGUUGGAAAGGGGUCGUGAAGUUCUACUUUCUGCUUGUAAUGAUGCAACUAAUGAACUGGCUUUAACUCAAAAUAGAUUAUCUGAACUUGGCUCCAACUUUGACCUGGAAAAAUUGAAGGAAACCGCACCCGAACAAUUAGGAAAUUUUGGUGAAGAUGUAGCACAUCAUCAGUUGGCGCUUGAUAACAGUUAGUCCGCAAAGACCGCUGAGAAGCUGCUAUUGGCGGCUAGACACAGUCAACAUCUGAACAGUUCUAAACUGUGGUGGAUGUGAUGGUUGGUACAAUUACAGAUUUGCAGGUUAAAUUGGAAGAAACCAAUAAUACUUGUGUGAAAGUCCGGGAAGAAAAAAGAUUCACCAUCUCCCAACUGGAGACUGAUCUCGAAGCGUCAAAUGAUCUUUGCAAUGAGAUGAAGCUUAGGUUAGAGGGUUAUCAGGCAAAAGAGGAUAAUAUCACGGAAAAAGAAGCUGAAGUUUUGUCUUUUAAUUCUAAAAAUGGAGGAAGGGGGUAUUUUAGAAGCAAUGAAUAAGAACACAGUUAAACACUAACUCAUUUUGUACGGUUGGGCGUCGGGAAGGGGGUUUUCACGCUCCCAUGCGUCGUGUUCCUCACGCGUGCUGCUGAUUAGGACCGACUGACACCACAUGGGCAUGGUCAAUGGUCAAAUGUGUUUAUUAAUUACGGAAAAAACGAGUUUGAGUGUUCAAAUGGGAAAAUAGAAAGUUUAUGUAUCGGCUUUAAAAAAUCCGACAAGUUUAAGUGGCCAGGAAACCAUUUCGCCUUAUAACAAAGAUAAUACUUUCUGAACCCCAACCUAACUGUCCAACUUUUUAUAUUGAGAGAUAUAAAGGAAUUCAGUUAACAGAAGAACUAUGAUGAUGCAGGUUACCGAGGACAUGACCCUUGAUAGGGGAGUCUGGAGUUCUAGAAUCAGGAUUGUAGGCUAGGGGCUCAUAGAGUUCUUCGUACGCCUCGCCCGGGGUUGGGUGUGGGAUAGUAGGGUUACCCAUAGGUGAUUAGUGUUUUAGCUUAUGUUCCCAUAUGGUUGUUAGUGUGGUAGUUACUGCUUGUUNNNNNNNNNNNNNNNNNNNNNNNNNNNNNNNNNNNNNNNNNNNNNNNNNNNNNNNNNNNNNNNNNNNNNNNNNNNNNNNNNNNNNNNNNNNNNNNNNNNNNNNNNNNNNNNNNNNNNNNNNNNNNNNNNNNNNNNNNNNNNNNNNNNNNNNNNNNNNNNNNNNNNNNNNNNNNNNNNNNNNNNNNNNNNNNNNNNNNNNNNNNNNNNNNNNNNNNNNNNNNNNNNNNNNNNNNNNNNNNNNNNNNNNNNNNNNNNNNNNNNNNNNNNNNNNNNNNNNNNNNNNNNNNNNNNNNNNNNNNNNNNNNNNNNNNNNNNNNNNNNNNNNNNNNNNNNNNNNNNNNNNNNNNNNNNNNNNNNNNNNNNNNNNNNNNNNNNNNNNNNNNNNNNNNNNNNNNNNNNNNNNNNNNNNNNNNNNNNNNNNNNNNNNNNNNNNNNNNNNNNNNNNNNNNNNNNNNNNNNNNNNNNNNNNNNNNNNNNNNNNNNNNNNNNNNNNNNNNNNNNNNNNNNNNNNNNNNNNNNNNNNNNNNNNNNNNNNNNNNNNNNNNNNNNNNNNNNNNNNNNNNNNNCCUACACGCCGAGGGUCGAUUGGAAACAGCCUCUCUGCCCUUUCGGGCAGGGGUAAGGCUCGUCUACAUAUUAUCCUCCCCAGACCCCACCUGGUGGAAUGUACUGGUAGUUGUUGUUGUUGUUGUUGUUGUUAGAAGAACUAUGAUGAUGAUCCUUAGCACGAACGCUGCAUGAACACACUGGCUUCCCCACCUUAAAUGUUUUCUAGAGGUCUACUGAUUUGGCACUCAAAUAAACUUAUUCAUGUUUAGUUCCUUCACACAUGAUGACAAUGAACUUCGCUGCUUGCAAUUUCUCUGAAAUACCAGACAACAAGAGAAAUGUCGCCUGGCAGCAAGCAACAAAUUAAAGAGCAACAAAAUUUAACUUAUUUAAAAGGAAAAUAAGCUUUGAAUCAAAUUUUAGAAAUGUAAUAGGCCUUCAAUGAUGCAUAGCUGACCUGGUUAAGAACUUUCCAUGGGUCUGCCCCCAUCCGAUCAAGUUUAUUAAUAAAAGCAAGUCUUGGGACUUCAUAUCUUCUCAUUUGCCUAUCUACAGUGAUAGACUGACUUUGGACACCACCAACGCUACAAAGGACGAGAAUGGCUCCAUCAAGAACACGCAAGGCUCUUUCCACCUCAAUCGUGAAAUCAACAUGACCUGGUGUGUCAAUUAUGUUCACCUGCAACAAGCAGAAAUUAAAAACCGGAUCCAGAAAUCCACCAAAAAAAUUUCUACUAACCAAACAACUGAGGAUUACUACAAUAGGCUCGCCUCAGAAAAGAGAAAACUUUUGCAUGCAAUAUUAUGCUAAUCUUUCCUAGUGAAAACCCAAGAAAAGAAAUAGGAAACGGAAGCAACAAUAAUGUUUCACAUAUCUGGUCGGAUCAGUAACGCUUAGCUCAAUAAACUAAGCACCCAACAAGAAUCUCUUGUGAACCAGUCCGGACAAUUUCAUUUUUGUCCGUUUUGUUUGACUUGCCCCGUCAAUAGGAUAUCAAUAAAGAAUAAAACUGUUAUAAAUAUAUUAUAUUAUGGAUGUUCAUUUAGUACUCCAUUGCAAAUGAACUUCCUGAAGAAGCUUAUCACUUCGGUACCCGGUUAUGGAUAAACAUUACCCCGGUAGAAGAUUAUCCACAUCUGGUAUAAUAGUAGCUUACACAGCAGCUUGUGUAGCAGUUUACACAGCAGCUUGCAGUAGGAGCUUACACAGCAGCUUGCUUUCUUCUAUAAAUAAAAAAAAUAUCAGUUCAUAUGUACAUCAGUUUAAAUUCGAAUAAUAUAUCAGUCUUUCUCUAUACUUAUCUUUACUUUAUAAUCUUUAUUUUAUAACACGUUAUCAGCACGAAACUCUAAUCAACUGAAUGUAAAAAUGAGCUCAAAGCUGAAAAAAGGCUAUUAAUAAAACAAAGAAAAGCAAGUCGGUUGGAGCCGCAAUAGCCGAAGUGAGAGCGAGAACCUCGCGCGGAGAACAAACAAUCAAUUUGCAGAAUCUUUGGCAAAGCACACAUGAUGGAAAAACAACUAAUCUUUGUUGUUGAAGGCACUACCGCCGUGGGACCUUUUCGGCAAACAAUCAUUUCUGAUUACCUCGACAAAAUGAUACGUGUUCAUCUCCAAUAUAAGGCGAUGCUCUUAUGUCCGUGAUUAAAUCUUAUUUAUUUCGAGCAUCAUAAAGGUAUUAUAUCUUUGAGGUGGUAAGUUUUUCUUCCUGACAGUAAUAAUUGCUUAUAGUUGAUUUAAUAUCUUUAUCAUCUCUUGCUUGGUUAUAUGCUAUGUAUACAGUACCUAUUUUGAUAUUUUUUUAUCCGUAUUAUCUUAAUAAAGGGUUACAAAGUGGAUAACAUCGUAAGAUCCACUAAACUCCAGGAGAGUUUGCAAGAAAUAUACAACCACUAGAAGUGGUUAUAUUUUGUAUACUCAUUAUAAGUAAAUUUUGUCAACCACCAGAAGUGGUAUAUGCCUAUGACCACCAGAAGUGAUAAUUUAGGCUUGCUAUGGUUACAAUGAAGAUAAGUUAGAGAAAAUUUCUCUAUAUUACAUACCUCGAUUUGCUCCUGAAGUUGCAAAUAUAUUAAAAGAGGUCAGACGCAAUCACAAGUUAAUGAGGUUAUUGCACGUUCCGAUAAUUAUGUUCUGUUUCCUGAAGGAUGAGAACUUUUGAUAAAUAUUAAUCAAUUCCUGAAGUGAAUGUGACAAUAUUAAUAAAGUUCGUUAUGAGUGCGCUAUUAAUAUAAAUAUAUUACGAUUCACUUCCAGAAGAGGUAAUAUGAUUGAGAGAAUAUAUACUCGAUAUUUUGUAUUUUAAAUUUGCUCCUGAAGAAGUCACACAAUUGAAAUUUUCUCCUGAAACAGGAAAAUAUUAUGAAACUAUGUCUUUCUGUGCUUACAAAAUAUUAUGAAAAUGUUAUGUCGCUUGCGAACCGACAUAAAAAUGAUCGUCGACGAUAUAUUUGAUACAAUAUAAUGCACAAUAUUGUAAAAGAUUGUGAGGAUCGGACCUGCAGUCCAGACACCUAAAGAUGUCAUGUCAUUCAUAACCUAUAUGGAUUAUUUGAUUAAAUCUAUAUGAAUAUCCCUGAAGGAUUUAAAAUGCCUGGAGCAUAUAGUUCAAACCAUUCACAACCUAUAUGGAUUAUCUGAUUAAAUCAAUAUGAAUAUCCCUGAAGGAUUUAAAAUACCUAAAGCAUAGAGUUCAAAGUCUCGAGAAAUGUACUCGAUCAUAUUACAAAGGUCAUUGUACCGUUUAAAGUAAUUUGGGCGCAUAUGGUAUUAUUGCCUUAGUGAAUAUUUGCUGAAAGAAUGUUACAUCAGUGAUGUUAUUUGUCCAUGUAUUUUUAUAAAGAAAACGGCAUCAGAAUUUGUUAUACUUGCCAUUUAUGUUGAUUACAUAAAUCUAGUUGGAACUCCAGCAUAGCUCCAAAAGGCAAUUGAAUAUCUUAAGAAAGAAUUUAAGAUGAAAGAUCUUUGGAAGAUAAAACUUUGUCAUGGUUUGCAAAUUGAACAUUUAGCAGACGGUAUUUUUAUCCAUCAAUCUGCUUAUACAACAAGGUUCGUAAAAUGCUUUUACAUGGACAAAUGUAUCUAUUGAGUACACCAAUGGUUUUUCGAGCAUUUGAAGUGGAUAAUGAUUUGUUCCGACCUCCAGAAGAGGAUGAGGAACUCAUUGGUCCGAAGUAUCCUAUCUCAGUGCAAUCGGUACAAUAAUGUAUCUUCUAAUGCUACAAGGCCUGACAUAUUACAACAACAACAACUACCCAGUAUACUCCCACCAGGUGGGGUCUGGGGAGGGUAAUNNNNNNNNNNNNNNNNNNNNNNNNNNNNNNNNNNNNNNNNNNNNNNNNNNNNNNNNNNNNNNNNNNNNNNNNNNUAACCAAGGCAAGACCAAACAAAAUAACAAAACAAAGCAUAAGUAAUCCUGCAGAAAUAACGUAAAUGGUUAUGUAAACAUAAGGAACAUAAAUACCAUCGCAACCAAGAGGGGACCUAGGCUAAAACACUAGACAUCGAUGGGUAACCCUACUAACCCACACCCACCCCGGGUGAGGCGAACGAAGGACUCUAAGAGCCCCUAUCCUGCAACCCUGAUUCUAGACCUCAAGAUAUUUACUGUUAAUUUACUAGCAAGGCAUAGUUCUUCUCCUACACGGAUUAAGGAUUCG